RNAcentral lists this ribosomal RNA (451 nucleotides) under uncultured bacterium. RNAcentral describes it as "partial 16S ribosomal RNA". It matches the Rfam family "Bacterial small subunit ribosomal RNA", at positions 28 to 523 of the family's 1533-position model. The record is from RNAcentral.
GAUGAACGCUGGCGGCGUGCCUAAUACAUGCAAGUCGAACGAAGUCUUCGGACUUAGUGGCGAACGGGUGAGUAACACGUUGGUACCUACCCCGAAGUGGGGAAUAACUGCCCGAAAGGGUGGCUAAUACCGCAUAAUACCACAAGGUUAAAGCAGUAAUGCGCUUCGGGAGGGGCCUGCGUCCCAUUAGCUAGUUGGUAGGGUAAUGGCCUACCAAGGCGACGAUGGGUAGCUGGAUCGAGAGGUAGACCAGCCACACUGGGACUGAGAUACGGCCCAGACUCCUACGGGAGGCAGCAGUAAGGAAUCUUCCACAAUGGACGAAAGUCUGAUGGAGCAACGCCGCGUGCAGGAUGACGGCCUUCGGGUUGUAAACUGCUUUUAUACGGGAAGAUUAUGACGGUACCGUAUGAAUAAGGACCGGCUAACUACGUGCCAGCCGCCGCCGUAA